This is a long non-coding RNA of Xenia sp. Carnegie-2017, 672 nucleotides long. RefSeq lists it as uncharacterized. The transcript has 2 exons. The record is from RefSeq and is a predicted model, not a curated record. Lineage: Eukaryota; Metazoa; Cnidaria; Anthozoa; Malacalcyonacea; Xeniidae.
GUUGACAACUUUGCGAUGCCAGGCUAUACCUUAUUUUAUACAGCUGCAGUUUUUCAUUUCUCAAAUUCGGAGUCGGAAUCACUGUUUGCACACAUUCAAGGUAUGCUAACUCUUACUAUAAAUGGUAUCGGUAAGGACGUCGGCUCAUUGUUAACUGGAUACUUCUUCAAAAAUUGUGGCAUCCGAAUUACAUUGUACGGAUAUUCAGUCGUCUCUCUUGUAUGGUGUAUAGUCCUUGUAGUUUAUACUUUAAAAAGUCAAGAGGCUCAUCAUUACGAACGAGUGGAAAUAGAAAAAGGAAUGGAACUAAAAAAUACUAAAGAGAUCGUUAAGCAAUGAUAAUGGUGUGUGUUUUGAAGUAACAAAAAAUGUAUCGUUUAAUGAUAUUUACAUAUUGAAAAAUUCAUGGUUAGUACAAUUUGUACCGUAACGAUUUCUAAUUUUGUGAUGCAUAUUAAAAAAGGCCAAUGUGUACAUGGAAAGAAAGAAUUAUGUUGUUUUCUGUUUAUCUCAUCCAGUGGCGUAGAUAAGGGGGGUGAGACAAAUGGUGGAUGCAAUCAACAAAUAAUUAUUAGGAAACUAUAUUUUUUAAGCGUUUAAUCUAAUAAAAAAAUUAUGUGGCGUUGAAAGUUUGGCUGUUAUCUUGGUGAAUACGAUAUUUAAUAUAUAAAA